AGUGAACGCUGGCGGCAGGCCUAACACAUGCAAGUCGAGCGGCAGCGCGGGGGCAACCCUGGCGGCGAGCGGCGGACGGGUGAGGAAUUCGUCGGAAUCUGCCUUUUUGUGGGGGAUAACGUAGGGAAACUUACGCUAAUACCGCAUACGUCCUACGGGAGAAAGUGGGGGACCGCAAGGCCUCACGCAGAAAGAUGAGCCGACGACCGAUUAGCUAGUUGGUGGGGUAAAGGCCCACCAAGGCGACGAUCGGUAGCUGGUCUGAGAGGAUGAUCAGCCACACUGGGACUGAGACACGGCCCAGACGCCUACGGGAGGCAGCAGUGGGGAAUAUUGGACAAUGGGCGCAAGCCUGAUCCAGCCAUGCCGCGUGUGUGAAGAAGGCCUUCGGGUUGUAAAGCACUUUUGUCCGGAAAGAAAUCCCUGGAGCUAAUACCUUCGGGGGAUGACGGUACCGGAAGAAUAAGCACCGGCUAACUUCGU
RNAcentral lists this ribosomal RNA (483 nucleotides) under uncultured bacterium. RNAcentral's name for it is "partial 16S ribosomal RNA". It matches the Rfam family "Bacterial small subunit ribosomal RNA", at positions 29 to 506 of the family's 1533-position model. The record is from RNAcentral.